UUUAGGUAUUUUUACACCUUCAAGCGCCAUCCCUCGACAAAGGACUGGUGGUAUUUCUCCCCCCAGUUUGGUAAGAAGGGGUUACUAAAAGGUGCUCUCUCUUCAAUCCACAACUGGAAGGGGAAGUACCUCUUCGUCCAAUGCCCAACCUUGAGGCUGGGAUUGCUCCCUUGGGGCUCCCUAAGGGACUCUGCCCGCAGGGCCCCU
Molecule: long non-coding RNA, 207 nt
Filed under: Elaeis guineensis (African oil palm)
Lineage: Eukaryota; Viridiplantae; Streptophyta; Magnoliopsida; Arecales; Arecaceae
Description: long non-coding RNA (EGUI_LNC014415)
Source: RNAcentral